GAUGAAGAACGCAGCAAAAUGCGAUAAGUAAUGUGAAUUGCAGAAUUCAGUGAAUCAUCGAAUCUUUGAACGCACAUUGCGCCCGCUGGUAUUCCGGCGGGCAUGCCUGUUCGAGCGUCAUUUCAACCCUCAAGCCCCCGGGUUUGGUGUUGGGGAUCGGCUCUGCCCUUCUGGGCGGUGCCGCCCCCGAAAUACAUUGGCGGUCUCGCUGCAGCCUCCAUUGCGUAGUAGCUAACACCUCGCAACUGGAACGCGGCGCGGCCAUGCCGUUAAACCCCCAACUUCUGAAUGUUGACCUCGGAUCAGGUAGGAAUACCCGCUGAACUUAAGCAUAUCAAUAAGCGGAGGA
This 349-nucleotide unclassified non-coding RNA is filed under the name soil metagenome. Its description in RNAcentral is "partial contains 5.8S ribosomal RNA, internal transcribed spacer 2, and large subunit ribosomal RNA". The stretch from base 1 to 120 matches the Rfam family "5.8S ribosomal RNA", at positions 35 to 154 of the family's 154-position model. The record is from RNAcentral.